Molecule: non-coding RNA, 73 nt
Organism: Ailuropoda melanoleuca (giant panda)
Lineage: Eukaryota; Metazoa; Chordata; Mammalia; Carnivora; Ursidae
Source: Rfam
ACCUGGCUGGCUCAGUCAGUAGAGCUCAUGACUCCUGAUCUUGGGGUUGUGAGUUCGAGCCCCAUGUUGGGGA